This is a long non-coding RNA of Trifolium pratense (red clover), 611 nucleotides long. RefSeq lists it as uncharacterized. The record is from RefSeq and is a predicted model, not a curated record. The transcript has 3 exons. NCBI's taxonomy places the organism in Eukaryota, Viridiplantae, Streptophyta, Magnoliopsida, Fabales, Fabaceae.
CAGAUGAACCUAGACAAUUUUGUUUUUUAAAGUACAAAAAAAUCUUGCUUCUUUGAUCAAUUUUUUGAAUCUGUUUUCCCUCCAUUCAUAUCCUUGCAAACUGGGCCAAUAAAGAGGUCACAAAACGGUUCAGCCCAACACAGCCCAGUCCAUUUCUUGUAUCUGCCUAAGGCCAAACAAAAAACUCCUUGCUUUAGAGUUCAGAAGCAUGCUUGACCAGUCACUUUCAUCCAUCUCUCUCAAAGACAAAACUUGCUGCUACCUCUGACCUCUCAAAGACAAAACUUUCAUGUGUUGGAAUCAAAUUUAAAAUUCAAUUUCUCCCUCUCUUUCAAUAUCUAAACUCACUUUCUUACUCAUCUCUCUCCAUGAAUCAACCAUCUUGGAUGGCAUAAGCCACAAACUCAGGUUUUCUUUUCAAUCUUCUCAAUCAAAUCCUCCGAUCUCAUCAGCCUCUUCGCUCUCAAGCAUCCUUUCGGCUUUUAUGUCAUGAUUAGCACCAGUAUUGGAGCAAUAUCUGGACUUGUUCAGCUCAUACUAUAUGCUUAUUAUUCGUACAUGGGAGAAAAUAAUGUUGAUGAUUAUGCUCAUCAUAUUCUAAAUCCAGCUGU